AAUCUUUUACUGAGCAGAGGUUCAACUUGAUCGCUGACCUUUUGCACUCUGAUCCCUUUGUGAGCAAACUGCCCAAAUUUGGUUUGUGUUGUCUUCAGUUAACUCUGUGCAUUGUUGGCACUGUGCAACAAGGUUUGCAUCCAUUGUAGUUGCAGUAAUUUUCUAAUUAUCACUUGUGGGGGAGUCGGACGCUGAUUUCCCAGGGGGCUGUUCUCAGUCUCACUGUGCUGUUGUUCCUGUUCUAUGCCAUGCAAUCUCACUGGGGCUGUCCACUCUGGCACACUUGACGCCAUCUCCCUACACACUGUAGUUGCGUAUUUAAGACCUGCACCAUCUUCUAAAAUAUUGACACAGGUCUUCAACAAGCGAGGCAUAUGGCAUUCUGAUAUCACUAUGCCAGGAGUCCUUGGGUUGUAAAACCACUGACUACUUCAUUUAGAAAUAUGUAAUUAAUAUUGCGUACCAAUAUUGUUGUUACUGAUAUUCGUUUCUUUUGAUACAUGCGUUGGCGCAAGUGUCCGUGUAUGACAAUCUUGCUUUGCAUUGUUUUGUACGUUUGUUAUCUUUGAGUCUUUUCAGCGUUAACUGCUAUUCUGUUACACAUUCUCCUAUUUCACUUGGGAUUGGUUUGCUUUGUAUUUUUAUACAUGUUUUCCUACUGCUACCAAAUUAUUUGCCCUGUCCCCCACAGUGUCCUUGUGCCAGCUCCCAUCCAACCACAGAGCCCUAACAGUCUCUGUAGUACUGCUGUGUUUUGUACUCCACAGACCAUUCUACAUGAGCAAUGAGAGUAGUGCCAUUGUUGAA
This 807-nucleotide long non-coding RNA is filed under the name Dermacentor andersoni. RNAcentral's name for it is "uncharacterized LOC126544461". The record is from RNAcentral. Lineage: Eukaryota; Metazoa; Arthropoda; Arachnida; Ixodida; Ixodidae.